AUUCGGCCAUUACGGCCGGGGAUGAACGCUGGCGGUAUGCUUAACACAUGCAAGUUGAACGAAGAUAAUAGUUCAUUGAAUUAUAAUACUUAGUAGCGGACGGGUGAGUAACGCGUAAGAAUCUACCUUUAGGAAAAGGAUAACAACUGGAAACGGUUGCUAAUACUUUAUAUGCUGAGAAGUUAAAUAGGUUACUGCCUAAAGAUGAGCUUGCGUCUGAUUAGCUAGUUGGUAAGGUAAAGGCUUACCAAGGCAAUUAUCAGUAGUUGGUCUGAGAGGAUGAUCGGCCACACUGGGACUGAGACACGGCCCAGACUCCUACGGGAGGCAGCAGUGAGGAAUUUUUCGCAAUGGGCGCAAGCCUGACGAAGCAAUACCGCGUGAAGGAUGAAGGCCUGCGGGUUGUAAACUUCUUUUAUUAGAGAAGAUAAUGACGGUAUCUAAUGAAUAAGCAUCGGCUAAAUAUGUGCCAGCAGCCGCGGUAAGACAUAUGAUGCAAGCGUUAUCCGGAAUGAUUGGGCGUAAAGCGUCUGUAGGUUGUUUAAAAAGUCAACUGUCAAAAACUAAAGCUCAACUUUAGGCAGGCAGUUGAAACUUUUAGACUAGAGUAUGGCAGAGGUAGAGGGAAUUACUGGUGUAACGGUGAAAUGUGCAGAUAUCAGUAAGAACACCAAUGGCGAAAGCACUCUACUGGACCAAAACUGACACUCAGAGACGAAAGCUAGGGGAGCGAAUAGGAUUAGAUACCCUAGUAGUCCUAGCUGUAAACGAUGGAAACUAAAUA
RNAcentral lists this ribosomal RNA (784 nucleotides) under Ulva prolifera. Its description in RNAcentral is "bacterial SSU rRNA". It matches the Rfam family "Bacterial small subunit ribosomal RNA", at positions 1 to 822 of the family's 1533-position model. The record is from RNAcentral. Lineage: Eukaryota; Viridiplantae; Chlorophyta; Ulvophyceae; Ulvales; Ulvaceae.